CACGUAGGGCGCAAGCGUUGUCCGGAAUUAUUGGGCGUAAAGAGCUCGUAGGCGGUCUGUUGCGUCCGCUGUGAAAACUCGGGGCUUAACCCCGAGCCUGCAGUGGAUACGGGCAGACUAGAGGUAGGUAGGGGAGAAUGGAAUUCCCGGUGUAGCGGUGAAAUGCGCAGAUAUCGGGAGGAACACCUGUGGCGAAGGCGGCCACCUGGUUGGAUACUGACGCUGAGACGCGAAAGCGUGGGGAGCAAACAGG
RNAcentral lists this ribosomal RNA (253 nucleotides) under uncultured bacterium. Its description in RNAcentral is "partial 16S ribosomal RNA". It matches the Rfam family "Bacterial small subunit ribosomal RNA", at positions 524 to 776 of the family's 1533-position model. The record is from RNAcentral.